RNAcentral lists this ribosomal RNA (326 nucleotides) under uncultured eukaryote. RNAcentral describes it as "partial 18S ribosomal RNA". It matches the Rfam family "Eukaryotic small subunit ribosomal RNA", at positions 1470 to 1796 of the family's 1831-position model. The record is from RNAcentral.
CCCUUAGAUGUUCUGGGCCGCACGCGCGCUACACUGAUGCAUUCAACGAGCCUAGCCUUGACCGAGAGGUCCGGGUAAUCUUUGAAACUGCAUCGUGAUGGGGCUAGAUUAUUGCAAUUAUUAAUCUUCAACGAGGAAUGCCUAGUAAGCGUGAUUCAUCAAAUCGCGUUGAUUACGUCCCUGCCCUUUGUACACACCGCCCGUCGCUCCUACCGAUUGAGUGUAUUGGUGAGGAGUUUGGAUUGGCCUCGGAAGGUGGUUCGCCACCGUCCGUAGCUGAGAAGUUCUCCAAACCGCCCCACUUAGAGGAAGGAGAAGUCGUAACA